UACAUACAUACAUACACACACACAUACAUACAUACAUACAUACAUACACAUACACACACACACACACACACAUACAUACAUACAUACAUACAUACAUACAUACACACACAUACAUACACACACACACACAUACAUGAUUUAACUUAUAAUUCACUGUAUCACAAUUCCAGUGGGUCAGAAGUUUUAAAUACACUAAGUUGACUGUGCCUUUAAACAGCUUCGACAAUUCCAGAAUAUUAUGUCAUGGCUUUAGAAGCUUCUGAUUGUCUAUUUGACAUCAUUUGAGUCAAUUGGUGUACCUGUGGAUGUAUUUCAAGGCCUACCUUCAAACUCAGUGCCUCUUUAAUUGACAUCAUGGGAAAAUCAAUAGAAAUCAGCCAAAACUGGCCAAUCAGCCAAAACGCCUCUUCACUGUUGAUGUUGAGACUGCUGUUUUGUGGGUAAUAUUUAAUGAAGCUGCCAGUUGAGGACUUGUGAGGCAUCUCUUUCUCAAACUAGAAACUCCAAUGUACUUGUCCUCUUGCUUAGUUGUGCACUGGGGCCUCCCACUCCUCUUUCUAUUCUGGUUAGAGCCAGUUUGCGCUUUUCUGUGAAGGGAGUAGUAUACAGCGUUGUACAAGAUCUUCAGUUUCUUGGCAAUUUCUCGCAUGGAAUAGCCUUCAUUUCUCAGAACAAGAAUAGACUGACAAGCUUCAGAAUAAAGUUAUUUGUUUCUGGCCAUUUUGAGCCUCUAAAGGAACCAACAAAUGCUGAUGCUCCAGAUACUCAACCAGUCUAAAGGCUUAAUUGCUUCUUUAAUCAGGACAACAGUUUUCAGCUGUGCUAACAUAACUGCAAAAGUGUUUUCUAAUGAUCAAUUAUCCUUUUUAAAAUGAUAAACUUGGAUUAGCUAACACAACGUGCCAUAGGAACACAGGAGUGAUGGUUGCUGAUAAUGGGCCUCUAUACGUCUAUGUAGAUAUUCCAUUAAAAAAUCUGUCGUUUCCAGCUACAAUAGUCAUUUACAACAUUAACAAUGUCUACACUGUAUUUCUGAUCAAUUUGAUGUUAUUUUAAUGGACAAAAAAUUUGCUUUUCUUUCAAAAACAAGGACAUUUCUAAGUGACCCCAAACUUUUGAAUGGUAGUGUAUAUUAUAUCUGAAGGGUUUGUCUCAAUACAAACACAGACUACGUUAUCUAUCCAGUUUCACAUGUGCUUUCCCCAAACAAGAGUGGUGAAAAUGACUAUUUUGUUAGAAUGCACUGUGAGUUCAGAGUUCUGAUCAUGCCAUGUGUGUGUGUGUGUGUUUACAUGCUAUGAUGUCUGUGUGUGUGUGUGUGUGUGUGUGUGUGUGUGUGUGUGUGUGUGUGUGUGUGUGUGUGUGUGUGUGUGUGUGUGUGUGUGUGUGCGUGUGUGUGUCUAUUUGUGUGUGUGUGUGUUUACAUGCUAUGUCUCUGUGUGUGUGUGUGUGUGUGUGUGUGUGUUUACAUGCUAUGUCUCUGUGUGUGUGUGUGUUUGUGUGUGUGUGUGUGUGUUUGUGUGUGUGUGUGUGUUUACAUGCUAUGUCUCUGUGUGUGUGUGUGUGUGUGUGUGUGUGUUUGUUUGUUUGUGUGUGUGUGUGUUUACAUGCAGUGUGUGUGUGUGUGUCUAUGUGUGUGUUUUUGUUUACAUGCUGUGUGUGUGUGUGUGUGUGUGUGUGUGUGUGUGUGUGUGUGUGUGUGUGUGUGUGUGUGUGGGUGUGGGUGUGGGUGGGUGUGUUUGUUUACAUGCUGUGUGUGUGUGUGUGUGUGUGUGUGUGUGUGUGGGUGUGUGUGUUUACAUCCUGUGUGUGUGUGUGUGUGUGUGUAUACAUGCUUUUCGUGCGUGUGUGUUAGUGUGUCUAUGUGUGUGUGUUUGUUUACAUGCCAUGUGUGUAUACCCAACCAGUCAUGCAUUGUAUGUGAUCAUCAGUGUCAUUCUGAGAGGUUUGGACUGAUGAUGUGUUUUCCUACAGGUGCUGAUUGCUGAUGCCACUGAUCUAUCAGUCCGCAUGGACCAGGGCUUCACGCUCACAUGGAAAACAAACACCUAAUCCCAUUCACAUAAACAUGCACUGCCAUACAACGUGUUAUUUAAACAGUGGUGGAAAAAGUACCCAAUUGUCACACUUGAGUAAAACUAUAGAUACCUUAAUAAAAAAAAGUUAAAGUGAAAGUCACUCAGGAAAAUACUAUAUGAAUAAAGGUUGAAAAUUAUUUUGUUUCAUGUAUACUUAAGUUUGAACAGUACAUGUAAUUGCUAUACUUAAAUAUACUUAAGUAUCAAAAGUAAAAGUAUAAAUUAUUUUAAAUUCCUUAACGCAAACCAACCGACACCAUUUGUUUUUAUCUGAAUGUAUUUUUACGGGGGGGGCACAUUCCAACACUCCAACAUAAUUUACAAAUGAAACGUGUGUUAAGUGUCCUGCUUGAAUUUCAAAAUGUAACGAGUACUUUUGGGUGUCAGGGAAAAUGUUUGGAGUAAAAAGUACAUUAAAAGUGCAGUGAAAAUAAAAGUUGUCAGAAAUAGAAAUAGUAAAGUAUAGAUACCCCCCCUACCCCCCAAAAACAAAUAAAACAAGUUAAGCAGCACUUUAAAGUAUUUCUAAUUAAGUACUUGACACCACUGUAUUUACAUUUUCACAAUCUGCAAUUGUCUGUUUGAAUGUCUCAUGACUCAGUAAGUCAUGUGUAACAUAAAUAAACUGACCUGAAAUAGACAAACGUUGUUUUUUUUAUCAACUUAAUUUGUCUGUUGAUUUUACGAUUGAAAAGGAGGGUAGUUGAGGGUAAGAAGGAACACUAUUGAGAGCCAGCCCAUGUUUAAUUUGUC
Molecule: long non-coding RNA, 2831 nt
Organism: Oncorhynchus tshawytscha (Chinook salmon)
Lineage: Eukaryota; Metazoa; Chordata; Actinopteri; Salmoniformes; Salmonidae
Source: Ensembl